This 75-nucleotide transfer RNA is filed under the name uncultured Acidimicrobiales bacterium. RNAcentral's name for it is "tRNA-Lys-TTT". It matches the Rfam family "tRNA". From Rfam's summary of the family: Transfer RNA (tRNA) molecules are approximately 80 nucleotides in length. Lineage: Bacteria; Bacillati; Actinomycetota; Acidimicrobiia; Acidimicrobiales. The record is from RNAcentral.
GGGCCGUUAGCUCAUCGGGUAGAGCGGGAGCCUUUUAAGCUUCUGGGCCGGGUUCGAGCCCCGGGCGGCCCACCC